CAGGUUUCCUGAACACUCUCCCUGUCUUCCAUUGUUUGGAAAACGUAUAGCCCUGACCAUGUGUUGCUGUAUUUGGCUCAUCAGGAUGCAGAACAAUGUUUUGAUAGCACCACAAGGCCAAGGUGGAUCAACCAUAUGGACAUGCACACUCAAUGACAAAGGCGGAUACCAACAGGUCCUCUCUGACACAAAGCGCCGAGGGGCUGAGGGAGGCGGGCGAGACGAGGGGUGCAUCUUAACCUGAGACGUCCCUCACACAAGAGGAGUGCAAUGGAGUAACUACUGUAGCAGAGGGCAAAUGAAGUUCAGCUGAGGUGAAGGGGUGAGACAACGUCAAAGAAGGAACAACGGAGAGAGAUCGAGAGACGUUGUCUAAUGAAGGAAUGCACAGAGAGAUGGAAACUAAUGGAGACAAAGGAUGUACAGAGUGCGAAGGAGAGGGAGAGAGAUGGCGAUGGGGUGGCUGACUGCUGUGUAACUCAUCCUCAUCUUAAUUGAUGAGGUCAUCCUGGGGAUAUCCCAAAACUAGAGUGUCCCCUGGAGGUCAUCACCAGGUCAUCCAAAAGUCAAAGUGCAUCGGAGAGAGAUGACAUAGCAUAUAACUUUUCUUUUGUGUUUCUGUUGUCGUUGUUGUUUUUGUUUGUUUAUGGGCUUUUUGCCUUUAAUUGUAAGGAUAGUGUAGACUAGGCAGAAAAGUGGAGAGAGAGCAAAUGGGACAAAAGAUAUUUAUGUUCCUAAUUUAUAUGUGCAUUACCAACUG
Molecule: long non-coding RNA, 760 nt
Organism: Sinocyclocheilus rhinocerous
Lineage: Eukaryota; Metazoa; Chordata; Actinopteri; Cypriniformes; Cyprinidae
Exons: 3
Source: RefSeq, a predicted model, not a curated record